Molecule: ribosomal RNA, 814 nt
Filed under: Ophthalmitis albosignaria
Lineage: Eukaryota; Metazoa; Arthropoda; Insecta; Lepidoptera; Geometridae
Description: 12S ribosomal RNA
Source: RNAcentral
AAAAAAUCUAUACAAAAUAAUUUGAAUAUAAAUAAAUUUUAUAUAGUUUAAAAAAUUUAUUUUAAGUUUAUUUUACAUAUAAAUUUUAGUAUUAAUAAUUGAUUAUUUAAAAAAUAUUUAUUAUUUGUAGUAAUUAAUAUUAAAAAUUUAAGAAAUUAAGAUUUAGUAAUAUUAAAAUUAUUAACAAAUUUUGUGCCAGCAGUUGCGGUUAUACAAAAAUUAAAUUAAAUUUUUUUAGUUAUUAAAUAAUUAAAAAUUUAUUUAUAAUUUAAUUUUAAAAUUAUUAAGUGAAAUUUUAAUUUUAAAAAAUUUUAUAUGUUAAAAUUUAUGAUUUUAUAAAUUUUAAUUAUAAACUAGGAUUAGAUACCCUAUUAUUUAAAAUUUAAAUUUAUAAAUACUAAAAUAGUAUGUAAUUAUUUAUUGAAACUUAAAUAUUUUGGCGGUAUUUUAGUUUAUUUAGAGGAAUCUGUUUAUUAAUUGAUAAUCCACGAAUAAAUUUACUUAAUUUUAUUAUUUUGUAUAUCGUUGUUAAAAAAAUAUUUUUUAAUAAUUAAUAAUAUUUUAAAAUUAUAAUUUAAAAAUUUAAAUCAAAUCAAGAUGCAGAUUAUAAUUAAGAAUAUAAUGGAUUACAAUAAAUUUAUUUAAAUGAAUUUUAAUUUGUAAUAAUUAAAUGAAGGUGGAUUUAAAUGUAAUUUUAUUUAAUUUAAUAAAAUGAUUUAAAAUUAAAAUAUGUACAUAUUGCCCGUCGCUUUCAUAAAUAAAUUGGAAUAAGUCGUAACAAAGUAGAGGUACUGGAAAGUGUUUCUAGAAAGAC